Molecule: ribosomal RNA, 400 nt
Filed under: uncultured beta proteobacterium
Lineage: Bacteria; Pseudomonadati; Pseudomonadota; Betaproteobacteria
Description: bacterial SSU rRNA
Rfam family: Bacterial small subunit ribosomal RNA
Source: RNAcentral
GAGUUUGAUCCUGGCUCAGAUUGAACGCUGGCGGCAUGCCUUACACAUGCAAGUCGAACGACGCUAGGGGCAACUCUAGCGAGUGGCGAACGGGUGAGUAAUACAUCGGAACGUGUCCUGUCGUGGGGGAUAACCAGUCGAAAGACUGGCUAAUACCGCAUGACCUCGCAAGAGAAAAGCGGAGGACCGCAAGGCUUCGCGCGAUUGGAGCGGCCGAUGUCGGAUUAGCUAGUUGGCGGGGUAAUGGCCCACCAAGGCGACGAUCCGUAGCUGGUUUGAGAGAACGACCAGCCACACUGGGACUGAGACACGGCCCAGACUCCUACGGGAGGCAGCAGUGGGGAAUUUUGGACAAUGGGGGCAACCCUGAUCCAGCCAUGCCGCGUGUGUGAAGAAGGCC